RNAcentral lists this ribosomal RNA (434 nucleotides) under uncultured Roseburia sp. RNAcentral describes it as "partial 16S ribosomal RNA". It matches the Rfam family "Bacterial small subunit ribosomal RNA", at positions 341 to 792 of the family's 1533-position model. Lineage: Bacteria; Bacillati; Bacillota; Clostridia; Lachnospirales; Lachnospiraceae. The record is from RNAcentral.
ACGGGAGGCAGCAGUGGGGAAUAUUGCACAAUGGGCGAAAGCCUGAUGCAGCGACGCCGCGUGAGCGAAGAAGUAUUUCGGUAUGUAAAGCUCUAUCAGCAGGGAAGAUAAUGACGGUACCUGACUAAGAAGCACCGGCUAAAUACGUGCCAGCAGCCGCGGUAAUACGUAUGGUGCAAGCGUUAUCCGGAUUUACUGGGUGUAAAGGGAGCGCAGGCGGAAGGCUAAGUCUGAUGUGAAAGCCCGGGGCUCAACCCCGGGACUGCAUUGGAAACUGGUCAUCUAGAGUGUCGGAGGGGUAAGUGGAAUUCCUAGUGUAGCGGUGAAAUGCGUGGAUAUUAGGAGGAACACCAGUGGCGAAGGCGGCUUACUGGACGAUAACUGACGCUGAGGCUCGAAAGCGUGGGGAGCAAACAGGAUUAGAUACCCUGGUA